This is a non-coding RNA of Paramuricea clavata, 203 nucleotides long. The record is from the annotation of a GenBank genome assembly. NCBI's taxonomy places the organism in Eukaryota, Metazoa, Cnidaria, Anthozoa, Malacalcyonacea, Plexauridae.
GAUGUCAAAUAUCGACGUCAUCAACAGUAAACGUGAUGGUGUUUAUAAGGUCGUAUAUCAACGUCAUAAACAGCAAAUUUGAUGGUGUUUAUUACGUCGUAUAUCGACGUCAUAAACACCAAACUUGAUGGUGUUUAUGACGUCGUAUAUCGACGUCAUAAACACCAAACUUGAUGGUGUUUAUGACGUCGAAUAUCGACGUC